This is a long non-coding RNA of Peromyscus eremicus (cactus mouse), 613 nucleotides long. RefSeq lists it as uncharacterized. The transcript has 3 exons. The record is from RefSeq and is a predicted model, not a curated record. Lineage: Eukaryota; Metazoa; Chordata; Mammalia; Rodentia; Cricetidae.
CAAAGCAAAUGAGCCACAGGACACUGACAUCAUCAAUGAAAGCUUUGUGCUGUUCUCUAAGUAGCUCCCUGCAUAGCAGCCCUCUGAUCAUAAUGACAUGUAGGUGUGUGAUAUGUGACUGACACAGCUCUCUCAAUGUACUGCAGCUUCUGUCAGAGCAGGAGGGUUUGCUUGCCAAUUAUCCAGAUUCUUGCAAGAGGCUAACUCUCCAGAAAGACCUGGGAAUGAUCACAGAAAUCAACAGUUGGAUGCUGUCUGUUCUUCAGUCUCAGCACAUGUACACUCUCCUUCCGCUGAGUCCAAUCUCGGAGGACCUGGCUGUGGAGGUAACUGAACAAGCACCAAAACAUGCAUCCCAAAAGAAUUCAGCCUGUGGUAGGGCAUGGCCCCAGGAGAAAAGGACCCCAUGAACACAGGCCACAAGGAUCAUAUGGAAUCCAGCUAUGUUCUGGACUCCUCAGCCCCAUGGAUGCCACAGCCUGACAUUUACACACUGGGACCUCCUGGUGCUAAAUAAACUUUCUAUCAUGUCCUCAGGCCAGAAAAAAAGGUUGUCCAAGGGAGUUAUUCAGGACUGCACGAGCACCCUCAGUAAAACUGGAACUAUAGAUUA